GGAGGAAGAGAGAACUGCAAGUUGAGGAUCUAUGUGGAUAUUUUCCAUAAACAAGGUGAAAGCUCUUGAUGUGAGGCACCAUUUGGAGCUGUGAUGUUUUUUUUAAAGGACUUUCAGGAGCCUGGACUCAGGCCAUGCAUUGAAGCUGGGAGAAAUAGAAGUUUUACUUGCCAGAGGAGAGCUCCUGCUAAAGGGAAUGCAGCUGUCAUUGCAAGGACUGUCUCCCUUGAUUUCGUAUUGCUGAUGUUGCGUUUCAGAAAAGCAUUCAUUCUGCCAUGGAUCCUCGUCGUGGGCAGCGAUCGACAUGAAGAAGAGCACGGUAGGAAAAAGCAAAAACGCAGAUCUGAGUGUUCUUAAAAUUGGGAGUGUGCAGAGUGGUUGCAGCAGCUUCCUGGUUAGCUGUUGAAGCAGAGGAAAAGGCUGGGUUAGGGCAGUUUUAAAUAAGGCGCUCUAUAGGCAUAGGUCCAAUAGGAGCUAGGAGUGAAUCAACUGGCUAUCGUCUGGUUGAGGUAGCUACUAGCCACUGGCUGUGGAUCAGCGCUUGAUGUCGAGACCUGACAGAACUAACGCUAUGCUUCAUUUCUAAUUAAAACGUGAAAAUGUAAACAAGCAUGUGCAGCAGUCCCGACUUUAGUCCAGUUAAUCAAAGCCCUGUUGUUGAAAUGAGUUUUACUGAGUUUAUUUCUUAUAGUCUUUUCUUUUUAUUAGUUCUUAGUUAGACAACAGAGCUUGUGGUGCUGUUCCUGAAUAUAGCCGAUUCAGCUUAAGGCAGAGUUGUGCUGUCCUAAAUAUGUCAGCACAAAUAGCUACUGUGUGUGUGUGUGUGUGUGUGUGUGUGUGUGUGUGUGUGUGUGUGUGUGUGUGUGUGUGUGUGUGUGUGUGUGUGUGAGUGUGUGUUAUCAGUGAAUGUACAUUAUCUCCUGGGAGGUUUGCAGUUCCACACGAUACCACAGAGCAGAGUGUCACACCAAUCAGAGUGGAGGUCAUAGGGCAGAUUGAAUAUCAGAUGAACCACAUGACCGGAGAUGACCAUGAGGUGACCAUGACGGUGUUAAUAGGACUGCUUGGUCAAGCUUAAGUUUGGUUACAGACUCAGUGUGCGUCUGCACUCUGAAAAUGUGAGUGUGAAUGUGUGAGCACCCAUGUGAGGGUGGGAUGGAGUGAGGAUACAUGAGGUUAAUUCCACGCUGCCAGAUUACGGGGUUACUGAGGUUAGAAAAUGAAUUAGCUCUAUUAACUAUAAUUAACUUACAGUCCACUCUCUCUCUAACACUCCCCCUUUCACAAGCAAAAAGCCUCUGUUUCCCACAGUGCUGUUGGCCCAUAGUGCGUUAUUAUAAUGCAUAUAAUAGCAUUUUUUGGAAUAGGUUUUUUUAGCAUAGAAGUGUUAAGAAAAGGUUUUAAACUGGGACUUAGAGGAAAGUUAAGGGAGAUACAGAGCAUGCAGAUAAUAGUGGUCAUGGGAUGUUAGUUAUGGUCAAGGUCGGGGUCAGACAUACCGCAGCAUUAAGAACUCUGACACAGAGCUCAUGAAAGCAAUUAUUAAGGUUAUUAAGUCCUCAGAGGUCUGCAAAAGAAAUUGAAAACCAGGGCUUAAUUGAGGACUUUUGUAGAGCUGUUUCUAGAGAGUUCUUAGUGAUAAACAUCCUAGAAAAAAUCUAAGCAAAAUAAGGUAAUAACCAUAUCAUUAAAGAAACAAUUAGUAGAUUGUGGAUAACAAGUCAACAGGACAUUGUAUUGUGGUGUAUUCACACAAGAUAUUUCAGUUUUUAACAUGAUACUUAGCCGUAAGCAUAAACUUUAUCAGAUCAAAUUCUAAAAUUAACAGGAAUUUUUCUGGCUCAGUGUUUUUUUGUUUUUUCUACCUUUUGUGCCUUUGAGCACACCAUCAUUGCACUCCAGCUGCCACAGUGAACAAACAUGAUGACACUGCUAGGCUCUGAAAUGGCCCACUUCACUUUGAACUGCCUGAGUGCUGAGUAGACAAGUCAAAAGUCAUCUACAUUUUGUGCCAAACAAAAUGAAAAUAUAACUAAAAUACUUCAGAUUUGACCCAUGAGCCAAGCCUACAGGUGCUCCCGAAUAGACUGAUGUAAGCAUGGAAAAAAGCUGGCGGAGUGCUAUUUUAAAGUGGCUCUGUUUUCACGGUUACUCCAAUAUGCUUUACUGUCACGAGUGACAGUUUCACUGAAAUGGGACUUUGGAAAAAGAGACAUCAACCAAACUAAAACUCCUGAAGUACAAAUAAAGUUAACCAACGUAAAACUAAAAACCCUCAGAAUGUGUGUUCCUCUGAUCAGUCACCAUUGCGUUCUAGCUCUGGACAGCACGCGUCAAGUCAUGUCCUCACUGGAAAUGUAGCAGCAGUUCUGUUUUGAGGGUUAUCAACCUGAGUGAUUUUCAGUUAUUGCUCCAAUGAGACUAAGAGAAUGUGUGAUUCUCAAUAGAUGGAGAAAAGAAGAAUGAGUUGUCCUCAAAGUCCUUUCAUGAGAAACCAACCUUUUUCAAGUUUGGGCAGGAGCUCAGUAAAACCAAACAUAACCUGACAAUUGCAUUUAAUCUUCCAGCUAUUUUGUGUUGAAUGAAAUCUUGAAAAUGCCCAAAACAAAUUUGAGUUCAAUGUUUGUUUCUUGGAGUCCAACAGUUGGAAGUGCAUGAAAGGUCUCAGUAACUGCCAACAUUUUCAUUAUAUCCAGUGUGCUUACACAACUGAGAGAGUUUUGUUUUGCUCAAACAGCAAUGAAAAGAAAAUAAGAAAGGUAAGCAUCUUUUUCAAAAACUAUUUUUUUCCUUUCCAGCAGAGAAGAAAUUUUAAGAUUCCAGUUUAUCAAAUUAAAACAAAUUAAAACAAACAUCGACAAACAGCACAGUGGGUCUGAUUUAACAAAGGACCCUGUGAGAUCAUUAAACUUCCAGAUUACCUCCCCAAAGCCCCACAUUAGAGUUUUUUCAACACUUCCAUGAUCAUUACCAGACACAAAGAUUGGUAAUAAUGAUAAAACCAUCUACAACACAUGGAUGUUUACUUCUUUUGUGGUCUGUUCAGGACAUUUCUUUAAUGAUUGGUCCAUUACACUGUCAUCUGUCAGAGCUUAACAAACAGAUGUGGGGUAAACUGCAAGUAUUACUUAUUUCAAUCAUUUGGAAACAUGGCUCUUUUUCCAGCACCCAUAAAGCUCAUUAAGUACGUGACAUGUUGUCCCCCAUGUGUUUGAUCCAUUUAGUAUAGAAAACUAUAAAAACCCCAACCCUCUUGACUCUGACUCCAAACUUGAUGCAAAGAUUAGCUGAUUUGUGUGUGUAUGUGUGUGUGUGUGUGUGUGUGUGUGUGUGUGUUCAAAUCUCUUAUUAAACAUUGACCUCUUGAAUUGAUUUAAAAUGUAAGAAAGGUUAAGAUUUGAAACCGAUUUAAGAAAAGUUUGGUGUUGAGUUCAGAUGAUUAAUGUACGAUAGAGAAACUCACACAUGCACGUCCUAUGUCAAUAGACUGUAUAUACUACGGACAACUUAACUCUGCCUUCCAUCAUUAUAUGAAUUUGAAGCUAAAUUGCUCUUGGUAUUUCCGGGUUUUUCUCCACUUCCUGAUAACCACCACUUGCGCAGUAGCAUUGUACGCAUUCAGCGGGAGAGUCGCUGUGAUGACGCUCAGCUCAACCAGCGUAUCUCCCAGGUGAGCUAUGCAAUCUUCAUAUGCCCAUAGGCUGUAUCAAGUGUCAAUCAUAGAAGACACGAACCCCCUAAUAACUUUUAAAACUGGAGCUGUACAGAAAAAAAGAGGACCUGAGAACAAACCAGUCUUAUAGUAACUUCAUAUCAACAUAGCAACCAGGAGGGAGGAAAAUUUAAAUUCUGUGUAAUUAAUUUUUAAAGUUUGUCCACAGCCCCAUAGGGAUUGCUGGAGGAGGUGAGAUCUAUGACCUAUACUGCGGCCCUGUUCUCAGAGUGGCUUCACCCAGCAAGGAGGCAGAUGGCGUCCAUUCUAUAUACAGUCUAUGGUUGUGUCAUUGUUGGGAGACGCUGUUGCUGUUUAGUCUUGACCUGGCAUUUAGGGGUUAAUUCAACAGAGUCAGGUUUUCCAGGGGGAAAUUAGCAGCAUUGACGGUAAAAGUGAGGGCAUAGCAUGCAUUGUGGCUUGCAUGCACUCUUUGAGGGUGCAUGUGUCUGCUUAAAGUGUGUGUGUGUGUCUGACUCUUUCAUUCCACAGCUUCUUACAGGGUCAUCUCUGUCUAAACCUCCCUGUCUAAGGAUUUGAAGA
Molecule: non-coding RNA, 4255 nt
Organism: Xyrichtys novacula (pearly razorfish)
Lineage: Eukaryota; Metazoa; Chordata; Actinopteri; Labriformes; Labridae
Source: the annotation of a GenBank genome assembly